RNAcentral lists this ribosomal RNA (274 nucleotides) under uncultured bacterium. RNAcentral describes it as "partial 16S ribosomal RNA". It matches the Rfam family "Bacterial small subunit ribosomal RNA", at positions 65 to 339 of the family's 1533-position model. The record is from RNAcentral.
AACGGCAGCGGGGGAGCUUGCUCCCGCCGGCGAGUGGCAAACGGGUGAGUAAUACAUCGGAACGUGCCCAGUAGUGGGGGAUAGCCCGGCGAAAGCCGGAUUAAUACCGCAUAAUCUCUGAGGAGGAAAGUGGGGGACCUUCGGGCCUUACGCUGAUGGAGCGGCUGAUGUCGGAUUAGGUAGUUGGUGAGGUAAAAGCUCACCAAGCCGACGAUCUGUAGCUGGUCUGAGAGGACGACCAGCCACACUGGGACUGAGAUACGGCCCAGACUCC